ACGGAGUAUUGAUUGAGAACCCAUAUUUCCCAUAUGACGUGAACCAAGGUCACGAAGUAAUUAUCCAUUUAGAGGGUGAAUAUCUUAUUCUGAUGGCUGAUGGCAUUCACGUACACUGGGAUGGUGCAUGGCACGUAGAGGUUGACAUUGACCCGGAACCAAUACAUAAAGGUAUAGAGACCCUGUGCGGUAUGUGUGGAAAUGCUAAUGGUAUCAAUGCUUACUACGACGACUUGGUGACUUAUGCUGGACUGACGAUUAAAGAUGACAGUCCCAUUGAAAUUGCACGAUUUGCUGACUCUUGGGUUGUGCCAAAAAGUUGUGUAUCUAUCUAGACGAAUGAGAUCGCUCCAAGGGAUUCGUUGGACUUCCGGUUCCAGUUAAACUUUUACUCAAAUUUACCUGUAAAACUUUAAAUGCAUAAGAAAUUAAUUAAAAAGUGGUAUCCUCAUUCUUCAUGUAAUCAAAA
Saccoglossus kowalevskii is the source of this 469-nucleotide long non-coding RNA. The record is from RefSeq and is a predicted model, not a curated record. NCBI's taxonomy places the organism in Eukaryota, Metazoa, Hemichordata, Enteropneusta, Harrimaniidae.